UGGGGUAUAGCCAAGCGGUAAGGCACAGGACUUUGACUCCUGCAUUCGUGGGUUCAAAUACCGCUGCCCCAACCA
RNAcentral lists this transfer RNA (75 nucleotides) under Ruminococcus sp. RNAcentral's name for it is "tRNA-Gln". It matches the Rfam family "tRNA". From Rfam's summary of the family: Transfer RNA (tRNA) molecules are approximately 80 nucleotides in length. Their secondary structure includes four short double-helical elements and three loops (D, anti-codon, and T loops). The record is from RNAcentral. Lineage: Bacteria; Bacillati; Bacillota; Clostridia; Eubacteriales; Oscillospiraceae.